RNAcentral lists this ribosomal RNA (429 nucleotides) under uncultured Eubacterium sp. Its description in RNAcentral is "bacterial SSU rRNA". It matches the Rfam family "Bacterial small subunit ribosomal RNA", at positions 958 to 1393 of the family's 1533-position model. The record is from RNAcentral. Lineage: Bacteria; Bacillati; Bacillota; Clostridia; Eubacteriales; Eubacteriaceae.
AACGCGAAGAACCUUACCUGGUCUUAAACAUCCACGAAAGUUUUCAGAGAUGAGAAUGUGCCUUCGGGAACCGUGAGACAGGUGGUGCAUGGUUGUCGUCAGCUCGUGUCGUGAGAUGUUGGGUUAAGUCCCGCAACGAGCGCAACCCCUGCCAUUAGUUGCUACGCAAGAGCACUCUAAUGGGACCGCUACCGACAAGGUGGAGGAAGGUGGGGAUGACGUCAAAUCAUCAUGCCCCUUAUGUGCUGGGCUACACACGUAAUACAAUGGUCGUAAACAAAGAGAAGCAAAACCGCGAGGUGGAGCAAAACUCAAAAAGCGAUCUCAGUUCGGACUGUAGGCUGAAACUCGCCUGCACGAAGUUGGAAUUGCUAGUAAUCGUGGAUCAGCAUGCCACGGUGAAUACGUUCCCGGGUCUUGUACACACGC